ACCAUAUAAUGUGUGUCAACAAAUAUCUUGCAAUCGCUUCAAUUAUCCUUACAAAGAAACUCGGCCAUCAUUAAUACAAUUAAUCAACAUUAUACACUGCUCACUAAUUUGUGAGACGUAUCCCACAUUACUCUUAUCACAGCUGUUUAAUGAUUUUGCUCACCAGUUAGAAAAUUUUCUAAACUGACCUGUCGAUUAAUUACUUCGUAAUUAUUGAGUAAAUAGAUCGUUAUAUUGUCGAAUGAACGUAUCGCUCUUGCCCAUAUGUAAUUUUACUUUUAAAGGGCACUGUUUAUUGAUCAGCGCGCCGGUGCAGCAGGUGCAGAUUCAUCGAACUUUAGCAGCUCCAUUUAUUUGCACUCUUUGCAUUUGGAAUGAGACACAAAUAUACAUUCGAUCUUUAGUAGAAGAAAGAAGCAGAAAGGAAAGUGGAUAAAAUGCGAAGAGACACAUCGGCGAAGCGGUAAGGCGGAAAUUGGCGGAACUUCUGAACCUUAAACACUUCUCAACGAAAAGUAACGAGAAUCUUGGACGAACUGAAGUUUUCACCAGUUCUUAGACAAAAGACAAACAAUGGUGACGGAAAAAAUCGGAAAGAUCUUCAAAGAUGUCUACUACGAUCAGUUCAAGUGGUCAAUGGUGAAGAACAUUGCUUUCUUUAUCGUUGGUGUUAAAAUCGCCAUUGAAUGCAAUGGGAUGAUGCUAAUGCCACCAGUCUCCGUUUAAACUUAUCAUGAAUCAUAGGAUCCAGAAAACUGUCUGAAUGUUCUAUCGAUUUCUUGCGUUUCGUACACCGAUUACAAUCAUUGUAGGAAUACAUUCAAUUUUAUCUGUAUUAUACAAAACUGUAUAUUUUGUAUUUGAAACACAUUUGUUAAAGAAUUGUUAAUAAAUAAUGUACAGUA
Molecule: long non-coding RNA, 905 nt
Organism: Trachymyrmex septentrionalis
Lineage: Eukaryota; Metazoa; Arthropoda; Insecta; Hymenoptera; Formicidae
Exons: 2
Source: RefSeq, a predicted model, not a curated record